GGAGCUGCUGCGAGUGGUGACAGUGUUGGAGGUCUCCUCCGCCUCCUCGUCUUCUUUCGCCUCCAGGACCUCACCAAAGAACCUGAAGAUGGAGGUGAAACUCAUCCAGGAGAAGCGAUCAAUGCCGCAGCACUCUCUCGUUCACCCUGAACUGGCGAUGAACUCCUCCGGAAUGCCGCCAGCUUCUCCACCCUAUCCCAUCGCAGUUCAGGGUCACCAGGGGGGUGUCUCUGUGCCAAUAUGCAGAUGAGCCUGUGCCCCUCCAAUGACUCUAGCAUUAAGCUCCACCCCUCUAUAUGGUGAAGCCUCUGAAACGAAGUCCACUGCCUCAGACUCAUGAAGCCGCUUUCGUACAGACUUAAACACUCCGUUAACAACUUGUGCCCACUCUUCCUUUAAUAGCCACAGUAUGUUGAACCUAAUGGAUGUUGUCAAAGCUGAGAUGUGAUCACUGAUUUAAAGGAGCAACCCCAAUGAUCAGAGAGAGAGAGAGAAUGGGAUGGAAGAGAAGAAGAGACAGAAUUACAUCAGCUAUGCCACAAAUCAAAGUAAUAUCUUUAAAAGAUGUGGGAAUCGAUGAGGUGUCAUCUGGCUAUAUCUCGUGUGUAAAGUGAACCCAUAAACAGCCAAUACUACUUUAUCCUCAAUUUUACCCUGUUACUGAAAAAGGUUCUUUUCUUUUUUUUUUUACCUGUAAAGCAGAUUCUUUUAUGGGCAAUUGAUUUCAUGUAUUAACAAAAGAUACAAUGGACCAAGAGCUUUUCCAUUUUCAUGAUUUUAAUUAUCACUUGGAUCUUGUAUUUAAUUGAUGAACUUGAACAAUAAAGCAUCCUGCGCAUUUUUGUUUUCCUUAUUGAAUUAACUAUAAAACAAAUAAGUUGCAUGUGCUAAUUUUAACAGGUUUAUUGUAAUUGCAUUAAUUAGUCUAAUAAAGUUUAUUCUAAAGACA
Acanthochromis polyacanthus (spiny chromis) is the source of this 949-nucleotide long non-coding RNA. RefSeq lists it as uncharacterized. The record is from RefSeq and is a predicted model, not a curated record. NCBI's taxonomy places the organism in Eukaryota, Metazoa, Chordata, Actinopteri, Pomacentridae. The transcript is spliced from 2 exons.